Etheostoma spectabile (orangethroat darter) is the source of this 153-nucleotide long non-coding RNA. RefSeq lists it as uncharacterized. The record is from RefSeq and is a predicted model, not a curated record. NCBI's taxonomy places the organism in Eukaryota, Metazoa, Chordata, Actinopteri, Perciformes, Percidae. The transcript has 4 exons.
CUGGCUUUAUCCCAGCAAGUACAGUCAUUAGCCUCUUUCUGACCAAGUAGUUACAGGAAGGUAGUUAUAGGAAUAGUCCACUUCUAAACAGUUCUACCAACUACCCUCCUCCAAAACCGGUUUGGCCAUUUGUAUUCACACUGGCCAAGUGGA